CCUACGGGUGGCAGCAGUGAGGAAUAUUGGUCAAUGGGCGCGAGCCUGAACCAGCCAAGUAGCGUGAAGGAUGACUGCCCUACGGGUUGUAAACUUCUUUUAUAAAGGAAUAAAGUGAGGCACGUGUGCCUUUUUGUAUGUACUUUAUGAAUAAUGAUCGGCUAACUCCGUUCCAGCAGCCGCGGUACUACGGAGGAUACGAGCGUUAUCCGGAUUUAUUUGGUGUAAAGGGAGCGUAGAUGGGUUGGUAAGUCAGUUGUGAAAGUUUGCGGCUCAACCGUAAAAUUGCAAUUGAUACUGGCAGUCUUGAGUACAGUUGAGGGAGGCGGAAUUCGUGGUGUAGCGGUGAAAUGCUUAGAUAUCACGAAGAACUCCGAUUGCGAAGGCAGCUUACUAAACUGCCACUGACAUUGAUGCUCGAAAGUGUGGGUAGCAAACAGGAUUAGAUACCCUUGUAGUC
Molecule: ribosomal RNA, 460 nt
Filed under: uncultured bacterium
Lineage: Bacteria
Description: partial 16S ribosomal RNA
Rfam family: Bacterial small subunit ribosomal RNA
Source: RNAcentral